RNAcentral lists this ribosomal RNA (285 nucleotides) under Triticum aestivum (bread wheat). RNAcentral describes it as "partial small subunit ribosomal RNA". Lineage: Eukaryota; Viridiplantae; Streptophyta; Magnoliopsida; Poales; Poaceae. The record is from RNAcentral.
UAUAUCUAUCUUCCUGAUGGUGCCAAAUUCUAUACAUUUGGUCUUGCUGCCAUCUGCUGGGCAAUAUGGAAUUAUCGUAACAGAGCAACCUUUGAGUUUAAGCCUCGUAAAACUCCUUUUGAGAUUGUAUUUUCCGGUUGUGUCUUCAUCACCUACUGGGCGGGUCUUUUGAAGGGGGCAGAUCAUGAGGCGAUGGAGCGUGGGUCGCAGAUGCUGAGGAGCAGUACAAGCAACAAGAUGAUGAUCUGUGACGCUGCGACUGAAGAUUCGGCAACGACUUACUAG